Molecule: ribosomal RNA, 431 nt
Filed under: uncultured bacterium
Lineage: Bacteria
Description: partial 16S ribosomal RNA
Rfam family: Bacterial small subunit ribosomal RNA
Source: RNAcentral
AGCGAACGCUGGCGGCAGGCCUAACACAUGCAAGUCGAACGCCCCUUCGGGGGAGUGGCGGACGGGUGAGUAACGCGUGGGAAUGUGCCCUUUGGUACGGAACAACUGAGGGAAACUUCAGCUAAUACCGUAUGUGCCCUACGGGGGAAAGAUUUAUCGCCAUUGGAGCAGCCCGCGUUGGAUUAGGUAGUUGGUGGGGUAAUGGCCCACCAAGCCGACGAUCCAUAGCUGGUCUGAGAGGAUGAUCAGCCACACUGGGACUGAGACACGGCCCAGACUCCUACGGGAGGCAGCAGUGGGGAAUCUUGCGCAAUGGGCGAAAGCCUGACGCAGCCAUGCCGCGUGAAUGAUGAAGGUCUUAGGAUUGUGAAAUUCUUUCACCGGGGAAGAUAAUGACGGUACCCGGAGAAGAAGCCCCGGCUAACUUCGUG